RNAcentral lists this ribosomal RNA (519 nucleotides) under uncultured Glomeraceae. Its description in RNAcentral is "SSU rRNA". It matches the Rfam family "Eukaryotic small subunit ribosomal RNA", at positions 569 to 1093 of the family's 1831-position model. Lineage: Eukaryota; Fungi; Glomeromycota; Glomeromycetes; Glomerales; Glomeraceae. The record is from RNAcentral.
AGCAGCCGCGGUAAUUCCAGCUCCAAUAGCGUAUAUUAAAGUUGUUGCAGUUAAAAAGCUCGUAGUUGAAUUUCGAGACCGGUUUACUGGUCGUGCUUUUGUACGUACUGGUAUAAUCGGUUUCUCUCUUCUGACGAACUAUAAUGCCAUUAAUUUGGUGUUUUAGGGAAUCAGGACUGUUACUUUGAAAAAAUUAGAGUGUUUAAAGCAGGCUCACGCUUGAAUACAUUAGCAUGGAAUAACGAAAUAGGACGUUUGAUUUUAUUUUGUUGGUUUCUAGGAUCGACGUAAUGAUUAAUAGGGAUAGUUGGGGGCAUUAGUAUUCAAUUGUCAGAGGUGAAAUUCUUGGAUUUAUUGAAGACUAACUACUGCGAAAGCAUUUGCCAAGGAUGUUUUCAUUAAUCAAGAACGAAAGUUAGGGGAUCGAAGACGAUCAGAUACCGUCGUAGUCUUAACCAUAAACUAUGCCGACUAGGGAUCGGAUGAUGUUAAAUUAAUGACUCAUUCGGCACCUUACGG